This 774-nucleotide long non-coding RNA is filed under the name Cricetulus griseus (Chinese hamster). Its description in RNAcentral is "lncRNA (ENSCGRG00000024724.1)". Lineage: Eukaryota; Metazoa; Chordata; Mammalia; Rodentia; Cricetidae. The record is from RNAcentral.
AUGGAAAAGCAGACACAGGUGCUCACAAGGAGAAAGAUGGUUUUGGUAGCUCUGGAGUCAGGGCAGGACCUGGAGGUGACCUUGCUCUUAUACAUCUACUGCAUUCUCUACUUGUGUCUGUACAGAAAAACAACCAUGGAGACACUGGCCCCAAGCAUGAGUCCCACCCACAGGUUUUCAGAACGUGACAGGUUCACUACAUGUGGCAAUAUACCAAUUUUGUGUGUUUGUUGCAUACAGCAAAAAUCCAAAAUCCUGCAGACUCACCACCGACUUUUUCUUGUCUGGGAUCCUGUUGUCGCUUCCAUGGUCCCUGUAAACACUAUGUGAGCUGGAGAGAGGCAUCCAAGCCUGAGAUAUGGACGGGUCUGUGAUUCUGUGACCUCACCUCCCCUUGGACCUUCAACUAUCUUUUCACUCCAAGUGGCGAAGGGCAUGCAGGUGGGAGUAGCCAAAGAACUCUUCUGAGAACUGUUCGUCUAGAGUGAAAGGGAAAUAGAAUUGCUAUUUUCUUUCUCUCUGAAGAGAAUACUGGAGGUGCAGAUGGUGGUUUUUAUAGUUCUUGAUCCCAGGUGGAAGACGAUAUCCCACCGGAAGGGAGCAGGAAAUAAUGAGGUCUGACAUAUGAACGACAGUGAGCUACGGAGGCCCCAUUGCAAUCUUUUUUUCCCAGGAGGAAGCUUGCUUAGUUAUAUCCUAUUUGUGAAUUAGGAGCAGUGGUUUUCAGCCCAUGGGUCAUGACCCUCUGGGGGUUGAAUGACCCUUUCACAGGUG